UUUUUAUUUAGGCCCUUUAAAAUUUAUAAAAUUUUAAAUUAGUAAAAGUAAAAUUACACUUUGGCUGCCCUAAAAAUGAUAAAAAUUUGAUUUAGUCCUGUAAAAAUUAUAAAGAUAUAGGCUAUUAAAAUGGUAAAAUUACAUUUUUAUUAUCGUAAAAAUUAUAUUAAUUUUGCCCCCAAUAAAAUUUUUUUUUGGCUUCGCCCCUAACCAUAACCAUUCUAUCCCACCACAUCUACUUUUCAAAAAAAAAAAAAAAACAUUCAUUCCAUAGGAAGCGAACCGAUUUAAAAACCGGGAGAUAAUUUAAGUUUGAUCAUCCUUAGCAUGACCUUAAACUCAA
RNAcentral lists this long non-coding RNA (343 nucleotides) under Gossypium raimondii (Peruvian cotton). Its description in RNAcentral is "long non-coding RNA (GRAI_LNC008915)". Lineage: Eukaryota; Viridiplantae; Streptophyta; Magnoliopsida; Malvales; Malvaceae. The record is from RNAcentral.